RNAcentral lists this ribosomal RNA (253 nucleotides) under uncultured bacterium. RNAcentral describes it as "partial 16S ribosomal RNA". It matches the Rfam family "Bacterial small subunit ribosomal RNA", at positions 524 to 776 of the family's 1533-position model. The record is from RNAcentral.
UACGUAGGGUGCAAGCGUUGUCCGGAAUCAUUGGGCGUAAAGAGCGUGUAGGCGGCCCGGUAAGUCCGCUGUGAAAGUCCAGGGCUCAACCCUGGGAUGCCGGUGGAUACUGUCGGGCUCGAGUCCGGAAGAGGAGUGUGGAAUUCCUGGUGUAGCGGUGAAAUGCGCAGAUAUCAGGAGGAACACCGGUGGCGAAGGCGGAUCUCUGGGCCUUGCCUGACGCUGAGGCGCGAAAGCUAGGGGAGCGAACAGG